AAAACGCAUUUAAAUAUAAGCGUCCACUAAACCGCACCGCACGCAACGGAUUUUACUAUGAGGCAUACUCCGUUGCGUGCGUCCGAUGCAUCCGAUACCGAGAAGUGGACG
This is a long non-coding RNA of Aricia agestis (brown argus), 111 nucleotides long. RefSeq lists it as uncharacterized. NCBI's taxonomy places the organism in Eukaryota, Metazoa, Arthropoda, Insecta, Lepidoptera, Lycaenidae. The transcript has 3 exons. The record is from RefSeq and is a predicted model, not a curated record.